GAAAUGCGAUAAGUAAUGUGAAUUGCAGAAUUCCGUGAAUCAUCGAAUCUUUGAACGCACAUUGCGCCCUCUGGUAUUCCGGGGGGCAUGCCUGUCCGAGCGUCAUUGCGAUCCCCUCAAGCACGGCUUGUGUGAUGGGCCCUCCCGCGUCUUGGUCGUCAAGACGGGCCCGAAAAGCAGUGGCGGCUUCGCGGUUAUCCGAUCAGCCAGAGCGUAUGGGGACUUUCUCUCUGUCACACGCCCGCGGCGCGGACCGACGCCUGUCGACCUUUAUUCAUCUUUUUCUCGGUUGACCUCGGAUCAGGUAGGGAUACCCGCUGAACUUAAGC
Molecule: unclassified non-coding RNA, 329 nt
Filed under: plant metagenome
Description: partial contains 5.8S ribosomal RNA, internal transcribed spacer 2, and large subunit ribosomal RNA
Rfam family: 5.8S ribosomal RNA (bases 1-105)
Source: RNAcentral